This 430-nucleotide ribosomal RNA is filed under the name uncultured bacterium. Its description in RNAcentral is "bacterial SSU rRNA". It matches the Rfam family "Bacterial small subunit ribosomal RNA", at positions 917 to 1345 of the family's 1533-position model. The record is from RNAcentral.
GGACCCGCACAAGUAGUGGAGCAUGUGGUUUAAUUCGAAGAUACGCGCAGAACCUUACCAACACUUGACAUGUUCGUCGCGACUUUAAGAGAUUAGAGUUUUCGGUUCGGCCGGACGAAACACAGGUGCUGCAUGGCUGUCGUCAGCUCGUGUCGUGAGAUGUUGGGUUAAGUCCCGCAACGAGCGCAACCCUCACUUUUAGUUGCCAUCAUUUAGUUGGGCACUCUGAAAGAACUGCCAGUGAUAAGCUGGAGGAAGGUGGGGAUGACGUCAAGUCCUCAUGGCCCUUACGUGUUGGGCUACACACGUGCUACAAUGGUAUCUACAACAGGAAGCAAAACUGCGAAGUUAAGCAAAUCCCAAAAAGAUACCUCAGUUCGGAUUGCACUCUGCAACUCGAGUGCAUGAAGCUGGAAUUACUAGUAAUCGU